AGCGGCAUCCAAACCCAACACAAACACCUUGUUGGAAUUGUUCGUCACGCCCGCCGCCGGCGAUAGGGGGAGUUUCUGGAUUGUUCAGCUUUGUGGCGAUGGCGAUGCCGCGGUCGCCGGGCGCCGGCUCGCUCCGGUUUCUUGGCCUCCUGAAGCAGCCGGAGGCGGGGCCCGACGGCGCGGCGUCGUUCGAGCUGGACGAGAGCGACGUCCUGUGGCCUGUCGGUGGUGGCGG
This 235-nucleotide long non-coding RNA is filed under the name Oryza brachyantha (malo sina). RNAcentral describes it as "long non-coding RNA (OBRA_LNC000668)". Lineage: Eukaryota; Viridiplantae; Streptophyta; Magnoliopsida; Poales; Poaceae. The record is from RNAcentral.